CCUACGGGUGGCAGCAGUGAGGAAUAUUGGUCAAUGGACGAGAGUCUGAACCAGCCAAGUAGCGUGAAGGAUGACUGUCCUAUGGGUUGUAAACCUCUUUUAUCAAGGAACAAAACGAGGCACGUGUGCCUUUUCGAAUGUACUCUAUGAAUAAGGAUCGGCUAACUCCGUGCCAGCAGCCGCGGUAAUACGGAGGAUGCGAGCGUUAUCCGGAUUUAUUGGGUUUAAAGGGAGCGUAGAUGGGUAGUUAAGUCAGGUGUGAAAGUUUGGGGCUCAACCGUAAUAGUGCAGUUGAUACUGGCGGUCUUGAGUACAGUAGAGGUAGGCGGAAUGCGUGGUGUAGCGGUGAAAUGCAUAGAUAUCACGAAGAACUCCGAUUGCGAAGGCAGCUUACUA
RNAcentral lists this ribosomal RNA (396 nucleotides) under uncultured bacterium. RNAcentral describes it as "partial 16S ribosomal RNA". It matches the Rfam family "Bacterial small subunit ribosomal RNA", at positions 338 to 731 of the family's 1533-position model. The record is from RNAcentral.